UGCCAGACUCCUACGGGAGGCAGCAGUAGGUCCUCUUGCUCAAUGUUGUCCACCCUGACUCCUCCACGCCGCGUUGCGUAUGAAGGUUUUCGGAUUGUAACCUCCUUUUGUUAGCGCCGAUAAUGACGGUCUCUAACGAAUAAGCACCGGCUAACUCCGUGCCAGCAGCCGCGGUAAUACGGAGGGUGCGAGCGUUAAUCGGAAUUACUGGGCGUAAAGCGCUCGUAGGCGGUAUGUCAAGUCAAGGGUGAAAUCCCCGCGCUCAACGUGGGAACUGCCUUUGAAACUGGCAAACUGGAGUGUGUGAGAGGAUAGUGGAAUUCCAGGUGUAGGAGUGAAAUCCGUAGAUAUCUGGAGGAACAUCAGUGGCGAAGGCGACUAUCUGGCACAUAACUGACGCUGAGGAGCGAAAGCGUGGGUAGCAAACAGGAUUAGAUACCCCCGUAC
Molecule: ribosomal RNA, 447 nt
Filed under: uncultured bacterium
Lineage: Bacteria
Description: bacterial SSU rRNA
Rfam family: Bacterial small subunit ribosomal RNA
Source: RNAcentral